This 9889-nucleotide long non-coding RNA is filed under the name Marmota monax (woodchuck). The record is from RNAcentral. Lineage: Eukaryota; Metazoa; Chordata; Mammalia; Rodentia; Sciuridae.
CGCAGACGCCAUUUUAUCCGGUCCUACUCCGCACUGAGCGUGGCAGCCAUUUUGUUUUGGACACCGAGCAGGAGUUGGCGGCGGCAGCUGUGGAGGCACAGACGAAAGGCAGAGAAGGGCAGGCCGGGCGACCAGGCGGAUUGGCCGGCUAGGUAGUCAACCUAAACGAACGAACCGCGCAUUCUACCGCUUACUUAUUUAACCAACCGCCCACCUAGUGCACCCGAGCCCCUCCGCCGUCAACCCAGGUUCGGCCGGUCCCCGGCCGCCCGCCGCAGCCGUGGUGGCAGCCCCGGGAGGAGCGCUGGCGUCCGUUUCCUUUGGUGCGUUUCGGUGGGAGGAGGGGAGGGGUGGUGGAGGGGGAGGGUGGCGGACGGCGGCGGACGGCCCAGCGGCUAGGGAGGCCGGCUGUGGGCGCCGAGGCAGCGUUGGCGGGGAGGCCGGCUGUGGGCGCCGAGGCAGCGUUGGCGGGGAGGCCUACGGGGAGGGGGCGGAGCCCGAGACGGGGCGGGGCCCAGGUGGUGGCGGAGGCGGGCCGGCCUCGGCGGCGCUGGGGACGGUGGGGGUUUACUGGGGGAAAGGGGUGCCAGGGAUUGAACUCAGGGUGCUUAACCACUGAGUCACGUCCCUGCCUGUUUUGCAUUUAUUUAGAGACAGGGUCUCCCUGAGUUGCUUAGCAUCUCGAUUUUGCUGAGGCUGGCUUGGAACUCGCGAUCCUCCUGCCUCAGCCUCCCGAGCCGCUGGGAUUACAGGCGUGCGCCACCGCGCCGGGCAGUGGUAGGGAUUUAAACGAGGACUGGUGGACCUCGUGGCGGCUUUAGGGUUAAAGUCUGAGAGGGCUCUGGAGAGCUGACUCCCAUAUGAAUGCUCAUUUAGGAAACCUCUCCCACUCAAUCCCAUAAAUCCCUAAUCCCUUGCCAAGGCCCCUGAAACUGGGCAUGCCCGUGUGUCUUCCCUGGAUCAGUGGGUCUCAACUUUGCCCAUUAGGCUGCUUAUUUCCCACUAAUUGCUGAUCCCUGGCCUCUGCCCCUGCCACCAGAGACUGGUCUGGACCCCUGGCAUCUGUAUUUUUAAACGUUUCUUAGCCAAGUCUUUUGCAGCCAAGGUUGAAAAAGGUUCUCUGUAUUAAAAGCCAGAUUUUUUUUUUUUUUUUUUAAUUGAAGAUUGAACCCAGGGGCACUUUACCACUGACUUAUGUCCCUAGCCUUUUGUUUUGAGACAGGGUCUGAGUUGCUUAAUUUUUGUCAUUCUCCUGCCUCCAGGCUCCGAGGUGGCUGGGAUUAUAGGCAUGUACCACAGUGUCAGGCUAAAAGCCAGACUCUUAAACAAUUUUGGCAGAUGUUUGCUGUCCUUGGCCUUAAAAUUUUUAAUAAUUUGAGACAACACUCAUAAACUCCUAUAAUGAGUUUUGAUUUUCAAUAAUCAGUGACAUAGACCUUUUCAUUCAUUGUUUUGGACUUGUACCUUUUAGAAAUAAAGUGGCCAUUAUUCUGAUUUCUUCAUUCUGCAUGUCAUCCUUUGUAGAUUCUCGGGAUUUGAAGAUGGCUGCACAAUCAGCGCCGAAAGUUGUGCUAAAAAGCACCACCAAGAUGUCUCUAAAUGAGCGGUGAGGCAGCCAACAGCAACUUCAGCUCCUUCCUAAGAAAACAUUACUUAAAUGGCCCUGGGGUCCAAUGCACAAAAACGUUGUAAGCUAAAUACCAACAGAAGGCUACAGACCUCUGUUCUUAGUUGCAUCUUAAUGUGGUACACAAAACCAAUUGGGCGGUUGUUUCAAAACCCCAUAACAGUAGAUUUUUAUGUUAAGCUGUCUGAAAUAUUUAUCUGGUGGGAUGUAUUUUAAAAAGACUCCUCGCGCCCUCUCUUUUCUUCAAUUUUUUUUCUUUUUUUUUUUUUGCAUUGAUACAGGGGUGGUGCAGCACGGUAGCAUGAUAUACCCUGGCUGCAAAAGGCUUGCUGCCCAGUCCAAGGCCAGCAGUGUUGUGUCUGGCCUGUAAGAGGCAGGUAGCAAGCCAUGAAUAUGUCCAAAGGCCCUCGAAUGCCAUUCCUGGGCCUUGUAAGAGGCACUUGCUUUGCUCCAUUUCACUUUCUUUCCAUUCUGCUUUUUAGUUUGUUUUUGUUUUGGAUUCUUUUAACAGUUAAGUGUUCUUCUGUCUCAUUCCAUUAAGCUUAACCAUGUCAGAUAUAAUAGAGAAAUAUUUUCACAGGCUCUUAAAUGAUUAAACUAAUAUUUCUCAAAAGUACUCACUUGGAAUUGGAAAAAAUGAUCCUUUGAAACUGAGAAAAGGUAUUUAAAGGCAGUUUCUAUCUGAGAGCUUUGUUCAUUCAGUAUAUUUGGCCAGUAAUCUUUAUCAAGUUGAUGUUAAAAUGUCUAUUUUUGCUUCUUCUGAAGCAUAUAUACUUCUUAUCUCUGAGGAUGUAGAACAUUAAUUACUUAUAUUCACAUGUUCCUAAGCAACAUGUAUUUAUAAAUUGAUACACUCCUAAAAUUUAUGUGGAUGUAUGAUUUCCCUGGCUUUGAAGAUGCUCUAGGCCUUCCUCGUAUUUGCCCUUAAACUGAACCCUUGAGUUCCCAAAGUUUAGGCUUUCUUUGUUUGUCUUUGAAACUACAUCUUCUGUCUCUUGUCAUCAUAUCUGCUUAUUGCGUGUUUUUCAUACUUUCCACCUCUCUUAAGAGCUGUUACCUGAGCCCUUGUUAUCACUUUUGAUUGUGCUGCACUUAGCUGCAUUUCUAAGUUUCUGAUUCUUGCAAGUUUUGUGGAAACACAGGAGUCUUUAACCCACAUCAGCCUUGAUCUAAACGUACCACUUUACUUAAAAGUUCGUGGGAUCUGGAGCUCCUGGUCUAGCAAGCCAUGAAAAUGCCAAUAAAUGUUUUGUAAUAAAGCUUUUAUUUAAACAUCCAUUUUGUUCGACCUUGAAGCUUUACUAAUAUGCUGAAGAACAAACAGCCGAUGCCAGUGAAUAUUCGAGCUUCGAUGCAGCAACAACAGCAGCUAGCCAGUGCCAGAAACAGAAGACUGGCCCAGCAGAUGGAGAAUAGACCCUCUGUCCAGGCAGCAUUAAAACUUAAGCAGGUGAGAGAAUGUGUCUUAAUGCUCUGAAGCAGCUGGUGGUCUGUGUCAGUCCGCUGAGUGCCAUGGAUGAUGACAGAGGCUCAGGGCCAAACCUGAAGCUUCUAUGAAAGGGAAGUUCAGAGAAUUCCAAUUUUGGCAGGUACUGAUAAAUAAUGUUUUAUUAUUUCUGUUUUAGGGAGUUUGCCAUCUGUGUGGCCUGUUUGUGUUAUCAGUGACUAUUAAUCUCUUACGUUUGGUCCUUUACCCUAAAAGUGGAUUUAAUGGAUUUUUUUUGAUACAAAGAACCUUUGUUUCAGGUUGGGGUAUAGCUCAAAAGAAGAGCACUUGCCUACCAUGUGCAAGGCCAUGGAUUUGAUCCCCAGCACUGCCCAAAAAAAGAGAAGGAAAGAAACUAUUUGUGUUUAGAUGAUCUUCAAAAUAUCCUUUACUUCCUGUUAAGUGAUCUAUAUCCUAGGGAAAUAAUUUUAUUCUUCCCUAUACAGGGAAUUUGGCCUUAGUCAAAAGUUUUCAGUGCUAAAAUAUACAAAAAGUAUAGUGACUUUUGUUUCCACAGCACCUGAAGUUUUAUCAGUACAUUAGAGCAAGAGUUCUGAGUAGCUAACUUAAGAAUUAGUGAGGUUCUCUUUCAAAUUUCCAGUAAGAGAUAAAUCUAUUCAGACCUGAAAUAAAACCUGCUCUUUAUUAUUCAUAGACUUUAUAUGCAAGUCCGGACAUUGGCUGUGGAAGGAUAUGUCCAAGCUGUGGCUGGGCGUCCGGAGGGCGAUGCCAUGCAACUGUAAGGACUUUAACUGGUAGCACUGCAUGGCUGUGCAUAAAUUCAGCAGUUAAAUAUAACACCCUCCCACCCUUAUUCUGAACCACUGGCUCACUGACCAAAAAUAAACAAGGCUUUCUGCUUCAGUUACCUUAAGCCUUGUAGGACUGGAUCCAUCUCUGACUCGGGAAAGCCAGAAGCAAAAGGCACCAACAAAGGACCUUUCAGCAUGAAGCUUUCAGUAUAGGCUGUGCGAGAAGUAACCUCCAGAGCAACACUGUCAGACGCUUCUGUGAUGAUGGAAAUGCUCUGCGCUGUCCAGUACAGUAACCACUAGCCACAUACGGCUAUUCAGAACUUUAAAUGUAGCUAGUGCUGUGGAGGAGCUUCAAUAGCCACAUGUGUCCAGUGGCUGUCUCAAAUAGCAGCUUUAGAGUGGAAACCAGUGGUAUAGUGGACAUCCUUAAGUGUCCUAUCAAUGUUAGAAGCCAAGAUUGGUAGCAGCUAGGGAUGGGGAUAGGAGGAGAACUCUAGGCACUGUGUAGUUCUUCAUUGAAGCAUAGAACUCGGGAGAAUCGAUAUAUUCAGGAAAACUGAACAUAAGGCACUUACAGAAUAUAGUCUUGACCUCAUGAUUGUGUGCUGGGGCUCUGAGUGUAGCUCAGUGGUAGAGCAUGCGUAAGGGUAUGGAUUUGACCCCUAGCACUACAAAAACAAAAUAAUUGUGUGCUAAGUAGAAGAGUGAGGACAGUCCCUUAAAGUUGGUUGCACCUCCUGUGCUAGAUGUCUUUCUCUACUGAUCAGAAGCGGCUUGUUAUCUUUAUCUUGUGCCUAGGAAGUUAUGCCUCACAGCACAAGAGGGCUACUAUUGGCCAGAGGGGGACAAGUUAUUUGUGGGUUGAACCUGAGUGUGCAUAAACUUCAUUUACAUUCAUGUUGUAGAAAAAUAGGCCUUGGUUGUGUGUUCAAAGCUACAUUGAUGAAAUUUCUUUUGAAGAAUUUUUUAAGAUGUGAUCCUCAAGGAUUUAUUUUUUUGAGAACAGAUUAUUGAAAAUGUAUCUCUGUAGUAUGUCCUUGUCCUCAUAUGUGCCCCUUUGUGGUUAAAGUUCACCUGUGUUAAUUCUAACAGUUUGGCUGGCUCUCUGGAGAUAUAUUUUUGUUUAUUUUGAAUUAAAAGUUAUAAUAUUGGCUUAAGGGAGCUGUUUGCAAGUGUAGAUAUGGAAUUAUGGAUUUCUAAGAAAUUUAAGGAAAGGAAGUUUGACUCUUGUGUUUAUUUGCAUCUUAAGGUAAAAAGUGGACCGUCUGGAGAUAGAUACUCAAAGGAAAAAUGGAGCACACUGGCCUCUUUGACUGAAAAAUCAAUCUUGUUCUUAAGUCAAAAGAAUUCAAAUGAACUUGUAAUUUAAAUUGUGCCCAGAGUGUGGUGAACUUCCUGUGGUGUUUGAGUAAGCCUUUGAAGACAGUAGUAGUUCCUGGGCAGGUAUGAAUUAAGUCAUGUCAUUGUCAACCUGGGGUUCAGAAACAGCAAGUGUUCUUAUUAAAACCUAAGUUCCAGCUGAUGGUAUAUGACUUCUAUAGCCAAAUCAGUGAGGUGAUUUGUGGUGAUGCCAAUUUCAUGGGGUCAUACUGAAGCUUCUUAGAGUUUAUGCUCUGGAAUUCUUUUAUAGCAUGUUCUGAGAACAAAGGUUUCUGAUUUGGGAUCCUUAAUGAUACCCACAGCAGGUUAUUUCCCGCCAUCUCACUUGCUUCCUUUUCUCUGCACUUAGAAUUGCCACCUCUCACUGAAUUGCUUUUUUGAUCUCAAUCCUCCAACACCUUUUCUUCCAGAAGAGCUUAAAGCAGCGCCUGGGUAAGAGUAACAUCCAGGCACGGUUAGGCCGACCCAUAGGGGCCCUGGCCAGGGGAGCAAUUGGAGGACGAGGUCUGCCCAUAAUCCAGAGAGGCUUAUCCAGAGGAGGACUACGUGGGGGACGUGCCACCAGAACCCUGCUUAGGGGCGGGAUGUCGCUCCGAGGUCAGUGCUUUGUGUACCUGAUAACUGUUGGGCCCUGUCCCCUUUCCUUUUCUCUUGGGCUGCUUAUGGACACAUUUGUUUAACAUCUUUAAUACUAAAUUUGUAUUAAUAUAAUUAAUAACUUUUGAAAUCACAUUUUUAGUAGUGCUGCAUGCCUUUUAUUGAUACCAUUCCUUUUCUGGUAAUGUGCAAUGGUGAGAGGCUAUGACCUGCAUAACAGGUAAUUCAUGUCAUCUCCAUUUCAUUUUAAAGCACCCUGCUGCUGCUUGAAUCAAAGCACAUUCAAGUUGUAGAAAUAAGUCAAGUUUAAGAAAUGUAUGUUAGCAUAUAUAUGAGGCCAUGGGUUCAAUCCCCAGCACCAAAAAAAUAAAGAAAUGUAUGGGUCUUCGGCCUAUAUCAAAACUAAACAUGUCUGUUCCUGGUGCUAGCACAACACUGUUAAUCAUCUGAAAGAAAGAGAGGAAAAGUUGACCAAUAGUACUUAACCUAUAUCUUGUAAUUUGGGCACUGCUAUUCUAUUCCCUGUAUAGUUUUUAAAUUUGUUAAAAGUAUGUACUUAAUUAACUCCCAACUUCCCAAGAUGGAUUUGUGGUCAGAAAUGUUGAACUGAUACAAAUAAUGAGCAACUUAAUCUGGUCACACUCUCAAGUGUGCAGCUUGCCCUACCCAGCUUACGAACUAACUGAAUUACUUUAAUUUAACCCUCACCGCCUUCCUUUGGUUAGAAUCUACUUUUGUUUCUCUUGGAUUUACCUGCAUAUACAUUGUAUGCCUCCUCUCCAAGGUCAAAACCUGCUCCGAGGUGGACGAGCCGUAGCUCCCCGAAUGGGCUUAAGAAGAGGUGGUGUUCGAGGUCGUGGAGGUCCUGGGAGAGGGGGCCUAGGGCGUGGAGCUAUGGGUCGUGGCGGAAUCGGUGGUAGAGGUUAGUCAGCUACCAACUUCAGAGAGUAGCUCCCCCUAUUUCCUUCCUUUAAAAACUCAGAGCCACCUUUCUGCACAGCUUCAAGUCACAGGCAGGCUUGUUUGUUUGUCUUGUUUUGUUUUUUGAAACUGGCUUAUUUCCUAAAUUCACAUGCUGGUAGAUUGAAAGUCUGUCAUAAUUUUUCUAAGAGCCAGUCAGGUACAUAUUACAGAACCAGAUAUUAUGCAGUGUUCCCCUAGGUUCUUACAGAUUUAAAUUUUAAAAAUUUUAAAUAACAAAGUGGUUAGUUUGGAAUUUUGUCUUUUACUAUUUCUGCCCCAUCACUACCACAUGCCCAUCUUCUAGCUUAAAACCUCACAUUAACUCAGAUAAGAAUAGAGGAGGCAUCGCUUCUCGGCCUUUUGGCUAAGAUCAAGUGAUGAAGAAUAGAGGAGGCAGCCUGGGGGUAUGGCCCCUGGCUUCAAUCCCCACUACCCUACACAAACACAAAAAAUGUGAACAGAAAGAAGGUAGUAAGAGGCUGGGAAUAUAGGUCAGUGGUAGAGCUCAUGCUUAGCACCAUGAGGCCCUGGGUUCCAUCCCCAGCAUGGGGAGUGAAAGUCAAAGAGGGUGGGACUUGGCGCUGAGCAGUGGCUCUGAAAUAAGUGAAGUUUCUGCUUAUGGGGAACCAGAGAGGUUUUUCUGAUAAAGGUAGGAAAUUAAAUGAUAUUACUGUCAGUUAACUAACUGGCUUUUGCUGAUAAUCUUACCUUUGAGGUCUUGAUAUUUGUCUUUUGAUCUCAUAACCCAUAUUGGGGGGGAUUGGUGGUGGUGUUUUUGCCAAAUCUCAUGGGGGCUUUCUGACUUAGAAUUUAGUGAGAAACUCCCACCACUGUCUGUUCAAGCGGAACAGCCCCUGUGUGUAUUUGCUUCAUUCCUUUAAAGUGUGUUGUGGGUCUUCACAAUUUAUAACCCGGACAUUGCCAAAGAAGAUAUUAACUGGGAAAGGGCAUUAGAUGGCCAAGGGCUAUUUUUUUCUCUUUCAUUAUAUACUAUGUGGGUUUUUUGUUGUUGUUUUUUGUUUGUUUUUUUUUUUUUUUUUUUAGUGAAAUGCAAGGUAGUUUGGUUUCAGGAUGAAAUAGGUUGUUUUCAAAUUAUCUCAACUUGAUUUUUGAGAGAUCACAUGGGUAGGAAGAUUAAAAUGACUCUUCAGAAAGCUGGGUGUAUUUUGUUAAGUGAAUUGAAACUACCUCUCAGAUAACCACCUUGUCGUGAGGUGCCUAGAAUCAGAGAUAAAGAGGCUGGUACUCAGCAUGUUUUUCUAAUCACAUUGUCUGUGUCAAAGAGAAACCCUCAAUAAACUGACACAUGGAGUCAGUUCAUUAGCCUUAAUAAAAUUAAGGAGAGAACUUUCCAGAGGGUAUCAAUUAAAGCUUAAUUUGAAUGUCUGCCUUCGCAUCCCUGAUUCUCUGUGCCCUUUUUACUACCUCCCUGUUACUAAAUUCAAUUAUCUAUUAUGUAUUUUAAUUAUGAAUUUAGAGGGGGGUCUCAAACAUUAGGGAAUUUCUUUCUUAGAAGAGAUAAUCUGUUUAUUAGCCGAUUAUUUUCCAUUUGUUGAUUUAAAAAAUUUUAGAUAGUAUUUAGAGAGGAGCAUGUAAUAAGGGAUUCAUUAUAUGUGCUUUCCAUGUGUUGCUUUCUAUCCAGUGUGUUUCUUGUUUCUCCAGAUUUCUCCUCCUCUCUGCCCUGCCCUUCAGCUUUCUCAGCUAGGCCCCACUGCUCUAAGGGGCAUUUACAUAGCUCCCAUUAAACCUACUUGUAACUGUCUUUUUUUCUUCCCCUCCUUGGGCCAGGUCGGGGCAUGAUAGGUCGGGGAAGAGGGGGCUUUGGAGGCCGAGGCCGAGGCCGUGGAAGGGGAAGAGGUGCCCUCACUCGCCCUGUAUUGACCAAGGAGCAGCUGGACAACCAGUUGGAUGCGUACAUGUCGAAAACUAAAGGACACCUGGAUGCCGAGUUGGAUGCCUACAUGGCACAGACAGAUCCAGAAACCAACGAUUGAAGCCUGCCUGCCUGUCCUUCUGUGAGAGACUCUUGUUAAGUCACCACAUCUGUAAAUAACCUUGAGAUAACAGAUGAGAAGAAACUGAUUGAUGCUGGAAGGACCUAUCUCAAUAGGCUGUGGACUCACCUGUCACCAGUUUGUGCAUUUAGUGUGUUCCUUUUACUUUUUGAUACUGUGUUGUAUGAAACUCUUUUUUUCCUUUGAUUUAGUUGGGGUUUUUUUGUUUUUUUUGUUUUCCUCUUCCCUUCACCCAGACUUUGAAGAUGAAUGUGUUGGCCUUGUGGGUAGAACACUUUGCCUACCUCUGCCUCCCUUCACCUAUAUCAUACACUGACAUUCUCUGUGCCCCCACAAAAAGUUCCAGAAAGAGCCAGUUUUCCUCCUUGAUGCCUUGGUUUCUGAGAUAGAAUUCUGUUGUACAUCCUAUUUAAUAGCCUCUUAGAAGUGUUAAGAAAAUCUGGAGCUGAAAAAUAACGUUUUGCUGCAUUGUUAAUGAUGUAGUAAAUUGGGAACAUUGACAUUGCUAUAGGGACACAUAACAGGUUACCAUGGUAUCUGCUUUGACUGAAGUUGCUACCAGGUGCAUGGAUACCACAUCAUUGAUGACCAGCAUGCUGGAUUGGAUACGUGUAUUUUCUACCCUCAGAUGAGAUUUUUGAGCUUGCCUCUUGGUGGCUUUGUAUCAUAUCCAGAGGGAUGGGCUGCCUUACACCUGCAAUCGAGAGGAAGAAGCCCUUUGGUUUGACUCACACAGCACAGGGAGAGGAAUGGGGCAGUAGGGAGACCACCACUGGAAAGGAUCAGGAGCUGCCCGUGCCAGAAUGCAGUUAUCAUGUUUGUCCCAGGCCACUGUUGGGCUUCUCCAUUGUUGGCUUUAUUUGAUCCUCCUCUUUCUCUUGAAGGUUUAAGUUCAACCAUAUUCUGUCAACUGUUCCCAGUUUCAGUGGAAUCUUGUAUUUCUGGUUCAUUAUAACAAAUUGUUCUCUCAAAUCCAACCAGGACUCUCUCUCUCUUUGUUGGGCUCCUGAGGUGCUGUAGCUCUUUUAAUGUUAUCUUAAUGUACCCCUUGUGUAGUUGAGAAUCG